RNAcentral lists this transfer RNA (64 nucleotides) under Dipodomys ordii (Ord's kangaroo rat). It matches the Rfam family "tRNA". Rfam says of the family: Transfer RNA (tRNA) molecules are approximately 80 nucleotides in length. Their secondary structure includes four short double-helical elements and three loops (D, anti-codon, and T loops). Further hydrogen bonds mediate the characteristic L-shaped molecular structure. tRNAs have two regions of fundamental functional importance: the anti-codon, which is responsible for specific mRNA codon recognition, and the 3' end, to which the tRNAs corresponding amino acid is attached (by aminoacyl-tRNA synthetases). tRNAs cope with the degeneracy of the genetic code in two manners: having more than one tRNA (with a specific anti-codon) for a particular amino acid; and 'wobble' base-pairing, i.e. permitting non-standard base-pairing at the 3rd anti-codon position. Lineage: Eukaryota; Metazoa; Chordata; Mammalia; Rodentia; Heteromyidae. The record is from Rfam by way of RNAcentral.
GGUGGCUCAGUGGUAGAGUGCUUGCCUUGCAUGCACAAGGCUCUGGGUUCGAUUCCCAGCACCA